CAGAGAUGCGGGAGUGCCCGAAAGGGAAUCGGAACACAGGUGCUGCAUGGCUGUCGUCAGCUCGUGUCGUGAGAUGUUGGGUUAAGUCCCGCAACGAGCGCAACCCUUAUCAUUAGUUGCUACGCAAGGGCACUCUAAUGAGACUGCCGGUGACAAACCGGAGGAAGGUGGGGAUGACGUCAAGUCCUCAUGGCCCUUAUGGGUAGGGCUUCACACGUCAUACAAUGGUCGGUACAGAGGGUUGCCAAGCCGCGAGGUGGAGCCAAUCCCAGAAAGCCGAUCGUAGUCCGGAUUGUUCUCUGCAACUCGAGAGCAUGAAGUCGGAAUCGCUAGUAAUCGCGGAUCAGCAUGYCGCGGUGAAUACGUUCCCGGGCCUUG
Molecule: ribosomal RNA, 378 nt
Filed under: uncultured bacterium
Lineage: Bacteria
Description: bacterial SSU rRNA
Rfam family: Bacterial small subunit ribosomal RNA
Source: RNAcentral